UACGGAGGGUGCAAGCGUUAUCCGGAUUCACUGGGUUUAAAGGGUGCGUAGGUGGGUUGGUAAGUCAGUGGUGAAAUCUCCGUGCUUAACAUGGAAACUGCCAUUGAUACUACUGAUCUUGAAUUUUCAGGAGGUAAGCGGAAUAUGUCAUGUAGCGGUGAAAUGCUUAGAUAUGACAUAGAACACCAAUUGCGAAGGCAGCUUACUACAGGAAUAUUGACACUGAUGCACGAAAGCGUGGGGGAUCAAACAGG
This 254-nucleotide ribosomal RNA is filed under the name uncultured bacterium. RNAcentral describes it as "partial 16S ribosomal RNA". It matches the Rfam family "Bacterial small subunit ribosomal RNA", at positions 524 to 776 of the family's 1533-position model. The record is from RNAcentral.